GACGAAUGCUGGCGGCGUGCUUAACACAUGCAAGUCGAACGGAAAGGCCCUGCUUUUGUGGGGUGCUCGAGUGGCGAACGGGUGAGUAACACGUGAGUAACCUGCCCUUGACUUUGGGGUAACUUCAGGAAACUGGGGCUAAUACCGGAUAGGAGCUCCUGCUGCAUGGUGGGGGUUGGAAAGUUUCGGCGGUUGGGGAUGGACUCGCGGCUUAUCAGCUUGUUGGUGGGGUAGUGGCUUACCAAGGCUUUGACGGGUAGCCGGCCUGAGAGGGUGACCGGCCACAUUGGGACUGAGAUACGGCCCAGACUCCUACGGGAGGCAGCAGUGGGGAAUAUUGCACAAUGGGCGGAAGCCUGAUGCAGCAACGCCGCGUGCGGGAUGACGGCCUUCGGGUUGUAAACCGCUUUCGCCUGUGACGAGGCGUGAGUGACGGUAAUGGGUAAAGAAGCACCGGCUAACUACGUG
RNAcentral lists this ribosomal RNA (468 nucleotides) under uncultured bacterium. RNAcentral describes it as "partial 16S ribosomal RNA". It matches the Rfam family "Bacterial small subunit ribosomal RNA", at positions 28 to 507 of the family's 1533-position model. The record is from RNAcentral.